Gossypium raimondii (Peruvian cotton) is the source of this 134-nucleotide non-coding RNA. The record is from Rfam. NCBI's taxonomy places the organism in Eukaryota, Viridiplantae, Streptophyta, Magnoliopsida, Malvales, Malvaceae.
UGUUAAAAAUUUCAUCCAUUUCUACUGUUAAAAAUUGGCGUGGCUAACAGAAUAACCAAACGGUUACUUGUUGCAUGCCACGUGUACCUCAUGCUAAUGUAAAGAGAUAGUAGAAAUGAAUGAAAUUUUUAACA